RNAcentral lists this ribosomal RNA (274 nucleotides) under uncultured bacterium. RNAcentral's name for it is "partial 16S ribosomal RNA". It matches the Rfam family "Bacterial small subunit ribosomal RNA", at positions 523 to 796 of the family's 1533-position model. The record is from RNAcentral.
AUACGAGGGUUGCAAGCGUUAAUCGGAAUUACUGGGCGUAAAGCGUUCGUAGGCGGCUUGUUAAGCAAGAUGUGAAAGCCCUGGGCUCAACCUGGGAACUGCAUUUUGAACUGGCAAGCUAGAAUACUGUAGAGGGUGGUGGAAUUUCCAGUGUAGCGGUGAAAUGCGUAGAGAUUGGAAGGAACAUCAGUGGCGAAGGCGGCCACCUGGACAGAUAUUGACGCUGAGGAACGAAAGCGUGGGGAGCGAACAGGAUUAGAUACCCCGGUAGUCC